GCAUGUCUAAGUAUAAGCAACUUGUACUGUGAAACUGCGAAUGGCUCAUUAAAUCAGUUAUCGUUUAUUUGAUAGUACCUUACUACAUGGAUACCUGUGGUAAUUCUAGAGCUAAUACAUGCUAAAAACCCCGACUUCAGGAAGGGGUGUAUUUAUUAGAUAAAAAACCAACGCCCUUCGGGGCUCCUUGGUGAAUCAUAAUAACUUAACGAAUCGCAUGGCCUUGCGCCGGCGAUGGUUCAUUCAAAUUUCUGCCCUAUCAACUUUCGAUGGUAGGAUAGUGGCCUACCAUGGUGGCAACGGGUAACGGGGAAUUAGGGUUCGAUUCCGGAGAGGGAGCCUGAGAAACGGCUACCACAUCCAAGGAAGGCAGCAGGCGCGCAAAUUACCCAAUCCCGAUACGGGGAGGUAGUGACAAUAAAUACUGAUACGGGGCUCUUUUGGGUCUCGUAAUUGGAAUGAGAACAAUUUAAAUCCCUUAACGAGGAACAAUUGGAGGGCAAGUCUGGUGCCAGCAGCCGCGGUAAUUCCAGCUCCAAUAGCGUAUAUUAAAGUUGUUGCAGUUAAAAAGCUCGUAGUUGAACCUUGGGUCUGGCUGGCCGGUCCGCCUCACCGCGAGUACUGGUCCGGCUGGACCUUUCCUUCUGGGGAACCCCAUGGCCUUCACUGGCUGUGGGGGGAACCAGGACUUUUACUGUGAAAAAAUUAGAGUGUUCAAAGCAGGCCUUUGCUCGAAUACAUUAGCAUGGAAUAAUAGAAUAGGACGUGUGGUUCUAUUUUGUUGGUUUCUAGGACCGCCGUAAUGAUUAAUAGGGAUAGUCGGGGGCGUCAGUAUUCAGCUGUCAGAGGUGAAAUUCUUGGAUUUGCUGAAGACUAACUACUGCGAAAGCAUUCGCCAAGGAUGUUUUCAUUAAUCAGGGAACGAAAGUUAGGGGAUCGAAGACGAUCAGAUACCGUCGUAGUCUUAACCAUAAACUAUGCCGACUAGGGAUCGGACGGGAUUCUAUAAUGACCCGUUCGGCACCUUACGAGAAAUCAAAGUUUUUGGGUNNNUGGGGG
This 1059-nucleotide ribosomal RNA is filed under the name Penicillium roqueforti. RNAcentral's name for it is "SSU rRNA". It matches the Rfam family "Eukaryotic small subunit ribosomal RNA", at positions 53 to 1121 of the family's 1831-position model. Lineage: Eukaryota; Fungi; Ascomycota; Eurotiomycetes; Eurotiales; Aspergillaceae. The record is from RNAcentral.